RNAcentral lists this ribosomal RNA (634 nucleotides) under uncultured Legionella sp. RNAcentral describes it as "bacterial SSU rRNA". It matches the Rfam family "Bacterial small subunit ribosomal RNA", at positions 256 to 873 of the family's 1533-position model. Lineage: Bacteria; Pseudomonadati; Pseudomonadota; Gammaproteobacteria; Legionellales; Legionellaceae. The record is from RNAcentral.
CGCAUGGGACAACACCUGCGUCGAUCGGUUGCUGGUCUGACAGGAUGGCCAGCCCACUGGGACUGACACACGGUCCAAACUCCUACGGGAGGCCCGGUGGGGAAUAUUGGACAAUGGGGGGAACCCUGAUCCAGCAAUGCCGCGUGUGUGAACAAGGCCUGAGGGUUGUAAAGCACUUUCACUGGGGAGGAGGGUUGAUAGGUUAACAGCUAGUUGACUGGACGUUACCCACAGAAAAUCACCGGCUAACUCCGUGCCAGCAACCGCGGUAAUACGGAGGCGCCAGCGUUAAUCGGAAUUACUGGGCGUAAAGGGUGCGUAGGUGGUUUUUUAAGUUAUUUGUUAAAUCCCUGGGCUCGUCCUGGGAAGGACAGAUGAUACUGUUCGACUGUAGUAUUGGAGAAGGUAGUGGAAUUUCCCAUGUAGCGGUGAAAUGCGUAGAGAUCGGAAGGAACACCAGUGGCGAAGGCGGCUACCUGGCCUGAUACUGACACUGAAGCACGAAAGCGUGGGGAGCAAACAGGAUUAGAUACACUGGUAGUCCACGCUGUAAACGAUGUCAACUAGCUGUUGGUCUUAUGAAUGUGAUUAGUGGCGCAGCAAACGCGUAAAUUUGACAUACAUCGUUAUACAG